GUGAGAACUUAUUCUUUUAGGUACUUUGGUUUAGCAUCUUGAGGAGAUCUUUUCAAUAAGAUAUAUUUUGAAUUUGAACACUUGAGAAGACCUACAUACAAUUUUGAAAUACAUGAUUUGUAUCAUUUAUACUCAAUAUUUUAGAAUCAUCAAAAUCAAUCUUGGGAUCAAUAUACUUGGCUCUAAUACCAAUUAUCGGAGAUCUGGU
RNAcentral lists this long non-coding RNA (208 nucleotides) under Elaeis guineensis (African oil palm). RNAcentral's name for it is "long non-coding RNA (EGUI_LNC050809)". Lineage: Eukaryota; Viridiplantae; Streptophyta; Magnoliopsida; Arecales; Arecaceae. The record is from RNAcentral.